AUGAAGGGUGCAACAUCGGGUGCAUAGGCAGCGAGCACCGCAGAUGCAGUGGCAGGGCCAACACCCUUGAGCACGGUGAGCUCGGUGAUGGCCUUGCUGAGGUCAGGCAGCGCUGCAAAUGCCUUGCGUGACGCUGACUCUACAACUUUGUCAUCCAAGCUUUUGACGAAAUCCAUCAGCCUCGGCCUAGCAACAAGUGCAGAGUGA
This 207-nucleotide ribosomal RNA is filed under the name Triticum aestivum (bread wheat). RNAcentral describes it as "partial small subunit ribosomal RNA". The record is from RNAcentral. Lineage: Eukaryota; Viridiplantae; Streptophyta; Magnoliopsida; Poales; Poaceae.